AUUGAACGCUGGCGGCAGGCCUAACACAUGCAAGUCGAGCGGAAGAAGGGAGCUUGCUCCUGGAUUCAGCGGCGGACGGGUGAGUAAUGCCUAGGAAUCUGCCUGGUAGCGGGGGAUAACGUCCGGACACGGGCGCUAAUACGGCAUAAGCCCUGAGGGCGAACGUGGGGGAUCUUCGGAUCUCACGCUAUCAGACGAGCCUAGGUCGGAUUAGCUAGUUGGCGGGGUAAAGGCCUACCAAGGCGACGAUCCGUAACUGGUCUGAGAGGAUGAUCAGUCACACUGGAACUGAGACACGGUCCAGACUCCUACGGGAGGCAGCAGUGGGGAAUAUUGGACAAUGGGCGAAGGCCUGAUCCAGCCAUGCCGCGUGUGUGAAGAAGGUCUUCGGAUUGUAAAGCACUUUAAGUUGGGAGGAAGGGCAGUAAGUUAAUACCUUGCUGUUUUGACGGUACCAACAGAAUAAGCACCGGCUAACUUCGUG
Molecule: ribosomal RNA, 484 nt
Filed under: uncultured bacterium
Lineage: Bacteria
Description: partial 16S ribosomal RNA
Rfam family: Bacterial small subunit ribosomal RNA
Source: RNAcentral